RNAcentral lists this small RNA (179 nucleotides) under Chrysemys picta bellii (western painted turtle). Its description in RNAcentral is "TUC338 (ENSCPBG00000010668.1)". Lineage: Eukaryota; Metazoa; Chordata; Testudines; Emydidae. The record is from RNAcentral.
CUGACAGUAUUUAAGACUGAAGAUCUCCUGUUACCAGUAGAGCAGGUACAACAUGGACAGCAGCAGGACAGCCUUUCCACAUUGUCUCACCAGUGUGCCCUCCAUACUGACCUGCAAUGACCACUUCUAAAUAUGACAAUGUAGUUCAGUCUCCAAGCCUAUUCAAGGUCUGAUCCAAC